GCGGGGGCUCGGGUCUGGGCGCCGAGUUAGGGACUGGGCUGACCGAGGCCGGGCUGUGGAGAGCGAGCUUGGGGACCCAGCGGGCGGGGCGAGGUCGCUCUGUGCCGCCUACGCCGGAUGCACAGCCGGCCCUCUCCGCGCCCACGCACCCACGUGAGCGCCCCGCCGGCCACAUUCCUACUUCCCCCACCACCCCUACUCCUCUGAGCUGAGAGCGCAGUUUCACCACCAGGCAUGGGUACACAAAGACAGAGAAGCGAACUACGUGCACGCGCGUCUAAACAACUACGUGGACGCCGCUACCCACACUCCGGCCUCGCUGAGCUGCUGCUCCUGUGAACGUUAGGAGCGAGCGGGGAAAAGUUAGCGAAGGCCCGGGGAGCGCUGCUCCUGUGCGCGUAUCUGACUGCCUUAGAGUGUGAACUUGUGACACCUGUGAGUGUGGGGCUCUGCAGAAAUCCUUGAUAUCCCGUCGCCCUCCGUCAGACCCAUAAGGAGAAGUUUGAGGAAGCUGCUCUUUGAAACCCAGGCCUCCUCAUCCCUGCAUGGAGUCGUCGCCGAAGUUUUGGAAAAUAGGGAUGGGCCAGUUGUGCUAGAAGGCACCAUUUAGGCGCUUGUUGAUUGGCCGCGUGGGGUUUUGUUCGCAUAGAUGUUUUUACCGUGCCGAAUGUGGCUCACUCAGCAAGGUUCUUCUCAAACUCACCUACCUGGACCCGAUCUUUCUAGACCCUUUCCUGUCCUCCGUGGCCUCAUGGGUCUUUGUACACCACUUCAGUUAGUUGCUUGUUUCACCCUCAGCUCGGGACCUCUCCAUGGUAGGCCUGAUACCUGGUGGGUCUUCUUAAAUGAAUGAAUGGAGGAUGCUGUUUACACGUCAGAGCAAUUUUGAAAAGGGAAAUAAAUACAGAUUUCAC
Molecule: long non-coding RNA, 914 nt
Filed under: Heterocephalus glaber (naked mole-rat)
Lineage: Eukaryota; Metazoa; Chordata; Mammalia; Rodentia; Bathyergidae
Description: lncRNA (ENSHGLG00100037347.1)
Source: RNAcentral